This is a non-coding RNA of Paralichthys olivaceus (Japanese flounder), 1163 nucleotides long. The record is from RefSeq and is a predicted model, not a curated record. Lineage: Eukaryota; Metazoa; Chordata; Actinopteri; Pleuronectiformes; Paralichthyidae.
CUCGUUUCCUGCCGCUUCGGGCCCUUCCGCUUCCAGGGCAUUGUUGACUGCUCCCUUCAGGGCACAGGUCCGGCAUCUCCACUGCGACCAAGGCGAUACCAUCGAGUCAUUUAUAGCUGCUGAUCAGCCAUAGUCUGCUAGUCUGCAUGUCGUGUGGUGGCUGUCUCCCCCCGCUACGCUGACUCUCCCUCACACCUCUCCCUCUUUGGACCGGACUAAGAACCGGACUUGACGAGUGUUAAAGUAAAGUCAGAGCCCUGAAGUAGCUGAGUGGUGACUGUUGCUUCAAYGCCGGUCUGCUACCUCGCUGCUAUCUCGUUGCUAUCUCGUUGCUAUAUCGCUACUACCUCGCUGCUUGGUUCGGGGUCCUGUCGGCUGUCUCCUGUCGACUCGCUUUUUGUUAUUGACCCUGUUUCCCUCUGCGUGUGUGUGUGUGGUGCGUGUGAGAAUUGACCAAGGUCUGGUGUAGGUUUGGUUAUUUCUUAUUAGUUUGGGUUGUUUAUUGAUUUGUUUAGUUAUUGUUUCUUUUGGUUUAUUGAGUUGGUGUCUCUGACCAGAGACUGAUUUUCUUUUCUUUGCGUGAUUUCUGAUGAAUUUCAAUAUUAUACUUCAGUUCUUUAAAUUGAUCAGUUAUUAAUUUGCUUUGUUUAUUUCGUUAUGGGAUUUGGUUUUCGUUGUUUGUGAGCCCUUUUAACAAGUGUUUGAUUUCCCCCCUAGAUUGGAAGACCGACGGUGGUGGUGGUGGUCCCCCCCUGGGUGGUGGUGGUCCCCCCCUGGGUGGUGGCGAUUCCUUGUGUGUGUGUGAUUUCCCCCAUUUAAGAUUUCCUUUAUGCACGUCACGUUUUGCUGUGUGAGUGGGGUGUUCUCCUUUCCUUUGGAUGUCAUUCUCCUCGUUGACCACUCCUCCAGCCGGUAAGCCUUCAUCCAUCAAUUCCCCCUUUUUAGUUGGGCUCCUUAUUUUGUUUCCUUGUGCCAAACCCUGUGUUCAUUUUAACUAAUAAAUUAUUGUAUGUGAUUAUUUAACUCCAUCUCCUGCCCUCCCUGAGUGAAUGAACCUGAGUGUCCUUGUGUAAAGGUGAUUAUUGACCUUAAGUAUGGGUCCUUGGGCCCUAACCCAAGGUGGCGUUGUUGGUGUUUUAAAAGAAAGAUCCUCUGAUCUGAAC